CGGACGGGUGAGUAAUGUCUGGGAAACUGCCCGAUGGAGGGGGAUAACUACUGGAAACGGUAGCUAAUACCGCAUAACGUCGCAAGACCAAAGAGGGGGACCUUCGGGCCUCUUGCCAUCGGAUGUGCCCAGAUGGGAUUAGCUAGUAGGUGGGGUAACGGCUCACCUAGGCGACGAUCCCUAGCUGGUCUGAGAGGAUGACCAGCCACACUGGGACUGAGACACGGCCAG
Molecule: ribosomal RNA, 231 nt
Filed under: uncultured bacterium
Lineage: Bacteria
Description: partial 16S ribosomal RNA
Rfam family: Bacterial small subunit ribosomal RNA
Source: RNAcentral